Molecule: long non-coding RNA, 1706 nt
Organism: Numida meleagris (helmeted guineafowl)
Lineage: Eukaryota; Metazoa; Chordata; Aves; Galliformes; Numididae
Exons: 4
Source: RefSeq, a predicted model, not a curated record
GGGGACCUUGAUGGACAGCCCUGCCUACCUGAGGCCUUCUGAAAAACACAGCAGAUGUCAGAACACAGCCACGAGACGCCUGGGAGCGAAGGAGCUGAAAGCAACAUUUCAGCAGCAGCCAAGAGCUUCCGUCAGCGUUCUGUGCCAGAAGUAGAAGCGGCGCUCCCCCUGCCUCCACGGCUCUGCACUGAUGAGAAAAUGGGCUGUGGUUUGUAUGGCUUCUGUAUUAAUUGUGUUCCCUUUGAUGGCACAAGGAGACGCGUGCAGCACAGCAUGCGCGGAUCUGACGCUGCCUGUGGAAGCCGUGCUGCUGCUCUCGAGCCGUGGGACAGACACCGGGAACAACAGGAAAACAGCAACGUGAACGGCACGUCCCAAGCAGAAGUUGCACGCCACGUGUUUUCUGAAGAUAAAAAAGCGGGAAAAGAAAAGCUUGGAUCUGAGCAGAUAUGGAAGACUGCCUGUCUCCUUCCAAAACCACUCAAGGUGGAAGACCUCUGCACCAUCCACAUACUUAAAAUGCAAGUAUCUAUCUGUUUAAUUCUAAAUUGAAGGAGGGGUGGCCCACAGCCAUUCUCUUAUUAUGUUGGAGUAAGGCUGGUGCUGGGAACACUUGUUUGAGGACACAGAACCCCCAAAGCACAGUGCUGGUGCUGUGGGCACGCCCUAGCCUGGCUCCUGUCGGAACACCUUUAGCUGCAGGAGAGCAUCAGCUGCACUCAUGGAGAGCAUCUGCCAGUUGUGCUCCAUCCAGGAGAGCAGUCACCGUGCUUUGAAUCACUGCACGACUUCACACACACAAAGCAUGGUUGACUGGGAGGUGAGUGCCAAAAACAUGCUCAGAAACUGAAACAUGGCGCUGACGGAGACACCCUCCCUCCUCAACAGCAGCUGAGAUGGGCUCCAGUCAGAGCAGGUGCCUGAGGAACCGAACUUGAACAGACUUGUGUAGGACCUGUUGAGGAAACACAGCAAGAUCUCGGCACAGCCUUCUGUCUUGGGAAGCGCAGAGGCUCAGAAAGAGAAGUUUCCUCAGCACCUCCCUGACCCAGCCCUGCAUGGACACAGCCACAGGAGCCCAGCAGCAGUGGGAACACUGAGCAGCCAGCUCCGGGGCACAUCUGGGAGAGCUGCUCCACCAUCCUGCCCUUGUUACAGCCUCCCCCUUCUGCCACAGCCCACACCACGGUGCAGCCCUGUAGUGCUCAUAGGUUGUUCUCUUUCUACCUUCCUCACAUAGCACCCAGGGAUAACAGAGCAGAUGCAUCGCUGAAUGCUCCAGAGAUCUCCUAGGCACAUGGACGUGGCUGCACCAUUCAGACCGGGAAACCUUUGUGGAAGUUUUCAGCCCAUGCUUUCCACAGUGACCCAAGAUUGUUUCAUUCCUAAGUAAGUAUGAAUGAGCGAUGCAUUACGGUCAUACAGUACUCACACGCCCACGCUUGCAGAGACCUGGAGUGGUUUCAGCCUGAGCAUGGCCCUUGUGAACAGCCCAGAGGACACUGGCACAAGGGGCCCAUCCCGGCCUGCAGCUCCCAGCGUGCUGUGCCGGCCGUCCAGCAGCUGAAUGCCUCCGUAACAGCUCCGGCAGCGCUGCCGCUCCAGUCCCCAUGGGAGGCAGAACCAAGGGAGCUGCCAACGCGUUGACGGACAACGCCAUCCCCAUCAGCCACAGCAUUUCUCUCUCCUUGCCAGGAAGCCGGGCC